RNAcentral lists this ribosomal RNA (1950 nucleotides) under Escherichia coli. Its description in RNAcentral is "bacterial LSU rRNA". It matches the Rfam family "Bacterial large subunit ribosomal RNA", at positions 1 to 1976 of the family's 2925-position model. Lineage: Bacteria; Pseudomonadati; Pseudomonadota; Gammaproteobacteria; Enterobacterales; Enterobacteriaceae. The record is from RNAcentral.
UUAAGCGACUAAGCGUACACGGUGGAUGCCCUGGCAGUCAGAGGCGAUGAAGGACGUGCUAAUCUGCGAUAAGCGUCGGUAAGGUGAUAUGAACCGUUAUAACCGGCGAUUUCCGAAUGGGGAAACCCAGUGUGUUUCGACACACUAUCAUUAACUGAAUCCAUAGGUUAAUGAGGCGAACCGGGGGAACUGAAACAUCUAAGUACCCCGAGGAAAAGAAAUCAACCGAGAUUCCCCCAGUAGCGGCGAGCGAACGGGGAGCAGCCCAGAGCCUGAAUCAGUGUGUGUGUUAGUGGAAGCGUCUGGAAAGGCGCGCGAUACAGGGUGACAGCCCCGUACACAAAAAUGCACAUGCUGUGAGCUCGAUGAGUAGGGCGGGACACGUGGUAUCCUGUCUGAAUAUGGGGGGACCAUCCUCCAAGGCUAAAUACUCCUGACUGACCGAUAGUGAACCAGUACCGUGAGGGAAAGGCGAAAAGAACCCCGGCGAGGGGAGUGAAAAAGAACCUGAAACCGUGUACGUACAAGCAGUGGGAGCACAGAGCAAUCUGUGUGACUGCGUACCUUUUGUAUAAUGGGUCAGCGACUUAUAUUCUGUAGCAAGGUUAACCGAAUAGGGGAGCCGAAGGGAAACCGAGUCUUAACUGGGCGUUAAGUUGCAGGGUAUAGACCCGAAACCCGGUGAUCUAGCCAUGGGCAGGUUGAAGGUUGGGUAACACUAACUGGAGGACCGAACCGACUAAUGUUGAAAAAUUAGCGGAUGACUUGUGGCUGGGGGUGAAAGGCCAAUCAAACCGGGAGAUAGCUGGUUCUCCCCGAAAGCUAUUUAGGUAGCGCCUCGUGAAUUCAUCUCCGGGGGUAGAGCACUGUUUCGGCAAGGGGGUCAUCCCGACUUACCAACCCGAUGCAAACUGCGAAUACCGGAGAAUGUUAUCACGGGAGACACACGGCGGGUGCUAACGUCCGUCGUGAAGAGGGAAACAACCCAGACCGCCAGCUAAGGUCCCAAAGUCAUGGUUAAGUGGGAAACGAUGUGGGAAGGCCCAGACAGCCAGGAUGUUGGCUUAGAAGCAGCCAUCAUUUAAAGAAAGCGUAAUAGCUCACUGGUCGAGUCGGCCUGCGCGGAAGAUGUAACGGGGCUAAACCAUGCACCGAAGCUGCGGCAGCGACGCUUAUGCGUUGUUGGGUAGGGGAGCGUUCUGUAAGCCUGCGAAGGUGUGCUGUGAGGCAUGCUGGAGGUAUCAGAAGUGCGAAUGCUGACAUAAGUAACGAUAAAGCGGGUGAAAAGCCCGCUCGCCGGAAGACCAAGGGUUCCUGUCCAACGUUAAUCGGGGCAGGGUGAGUCGACCCCUAAGGCGAGGCCGAAAGGCGUAGUCGAUGGGAAACAGGUUAAUAUUCCUGUACUUGGUGUUACUGCGAAGGGGGGACGGAGAAGGCUAUGUUGGCCGGGCGACGGUUGUCCCGGUUUAAGCGUGUAGGCUGGUUUUCCAGGCAAAUCCGGAAAAUCAAGGCUGAGGCGUGAUGACGAGGCACUACGGUGCUGAAGCAACAAAUGCCCUGCUUCCAGGAAAAGCCUCUAAGCAUCAGGUAACAUCAAAUCGUACCCCAAACCGACACAGGUGGUCAGGUAGAGAAUACCAAGGCGCUUGAGAGAACUCGGGUGAAGGAACUAGGCAAAAUGGUGCCGUAACUUCGGGAGAAGGCACGCUGAUAUGUAGGUGAAGUCCCUCGCGGAUGGAGCUGAAAUCAGUCGAAGAUACCAGCUGGCUGCAACUGUUUAUUAAAAACACAGCACUGUGCAAACACGAAAGUGGACGUAUACGGUGUGACGCCUGCCCGGUGCCGGAAGGUUAAUUGAUGGGGUCAGCGCAAGCGAAGCUCUUGAUCGAAGCCCCGGUAAACGGCGGCCGUAACUAUAACGGUCCUAAGGUAGCGAAAUUCCUUGUCGGG